UAUGUUUUAUGAGUGCGGUCCAACACUUGAGUUUCGCAUGGCAUUGACAAAAGGACGCAGGUUUCCAAAUUGGUUUUUCCUGAUCGGCCACGAAACAGUAUUUUGUGUGUUUUGAAUAUUGAUAAUUUGGAAGAUGAUGGCAAAUAGUAUUUUGUAUAUAUGUUAUGUUGUUAUAAUAUUGCUGUAUUGUAAUAAAAGCGGCAGCUCAGAAAAGAUAUACGCAGCGAGCUAGUCAACAAACUUAA
Molecule: long non-coding RNA, 245 nt
Filed under: Mytilus galloprovincialis (Mediterranean mussel)
Lineage: Eukaryota; Metazoa; Mollusca; Bivalvia; Mytilida; Mytilidae
Source: RNAcentral